This 1034-nucleotide long non-coding RNA is filed under the name Helianthus annuus (common sunflower). The record is from RNAcentral. Lineage: Eukaryota; Viridiplantae; Streptophyta; Magnoliopsida; Asterales; Asteraceae.
AUGUUCGGAAAAACAAACGAGGCUCCGGCGAGAGAGAAGGGGAGUUUUUAAAGGGUUGUUGCCCCUCUCUUGCCACAACAUCAUCAUGUUGAGCUGGGUUUGUGACGCAGUGUGUUACCCGUUUCCCUUUUACUUCGAUGAUGAGAUGUUGCUGCUGUUGUAGUUACAUUAGAAAAGGCUGUGACGAUGGAAAUUGUUUUGAGCAAAAUCGGAAUUUACCGACUGGAUCCGUAUCUUGGCUAGGCAAAAUCAGAAAAUCUACUGGGAUUGCAGCCAUGGCGGAUUUCAACAAUAAAUUCUGACGAUAACAUAUCUGAGCCUCAAAACAUUUAUCCUUGGAGAUAAGAAGAACAUCUAUCUCUACCUAAAGGUGCACAUUUUGGGUUUUAUUUUGCCAAACAACGGUCAAAACCGGGAUUUGGUGAAACUAGUUUACAAAUUACAAGUGGAAAAGGAGUGGUUCUGUUUGAAACCAGUUCUGGUUUUUGAAACGGCUUCAAGGGAGGAGUUCUCAAAAAGAUAAGUGGAAAAGGAUCGAUUUCUUUCUGGUUCGGGUCACAAACUGGUUUUUUUAUUCAACUCUACAUUUACCUGUAACCACCUUAAAUGAUGAGAUGAUGUGUUAUGCUCUCAAUUGAAUUGUGGCUCAGGUGAGAUUGAGGAGGUUUCUUAGAGUAGCUUCCCUCUUGCCAUUUGAUCCUCUCAUCGCUAUGAGUUGAUGAUUUUGACUGCUGGGGUUUGCUUUAUCUUUUCUAGUUGGUUGUGGUGCUAAUUGUUUUAAUAAAUAAAAUAUUAAAAAUUUAUAAAGGGUGAACAGGGGCAUCAAUCCGAUUCAUAUCUUGGCGGGGCAAGAUCUGGAUAGCAUAGUGAAGAAGAAUUUGAUAUUAUACAACUGUAGCGAUGGCGUAACUUGUUUCUUCUUUGUCCCCAUCCCCCAAUUACAGAUCUGAGCCUAAUUAUUUAUCUCUUUACAUUAAAUAUAUUCUCUCUUGUAAAUAUGAUCUUAUAUUUUAUGGAGGUUUUUUUGAGAGCAA